AGAGAACACGAUGCGAAAGCAAAGCGACAGCAGCAUGAGUACGCCAAGAAGCGAUUUAGAGGCCGUCCGAUUGUACGGAAACCCAUAAAGGAGAGCAAAGUUCUGGCGCAUAUCCACAGACACAUUUCGGUCACUCCAGGCCGACAAAAUCGGUACUUAUGGACCGGCUUACGUACGCUGUUACUGUUUUUUUCUGUUUCUUUAUUCUAAAGUUCUG
RNAcentral lists this long non-coding RNA (217 nucleotides) under Phoenix dactylifera (date palm). RNAcentral describes it as "long non-coding RNA (PDAC_LNC020233)". Lineage: Eukaryota; Viridiplantae; Streptophyta; Magnoliopsida; Arecales; Arecaceae. The record is from RNAcentral.